RNAcentral lists this small nuclear RNA (295 nucleotides) under Myotis brandtii (Brandt's bat). RNAcentral's name for it is "7SK RNA". It matches the Rfam family "7SK RNA". From Rfam's summary of the family: 7SK was discovered as an abundant small nuclear RNA in the mid-70s but a possible function has only recently been suggested. Two independent studies have found that 7SK RNA binds the CDK9/cyclin T complex (known as elongation factor P-TEFb). The record is from Rfam by way of RNAcentral. Lineage: Eukaryota; Metazoa; Chordata; Mammalia; Chiroptera; Vespertilionidae.
AGAUGUGAGGGUGAUCUGGCUGUGAUAUCUGUCACCCCAUUGAUCUCCAGGGUUGAUUCGCUGAUCUGGCUGGCUAGGUGGGUGUCCCUUCCUCCCUCACUGAUCCAUGUGCGUCCCUCCCAAAGCUGCGUGCUCGGUUGCUUCUUCCCCCCAGAGGAGAGGACUGGUCUUCAGUCAAGGGUAUACGAGUAGCUGCGCUCCCCUGCUCGAACCUCCAAACAAGCUCUCAAACACACUGAUGUAUUAUUCCAUUUCUCCCUGUCCAGAUGGUCCCAUUCAAAUCUGCAGUGUCAUU